CACAUGGCCCGUACCCCAAACCAACACAGGUGGUCAGGUAGAGAAUACCAAGGCGAUCGAGAGAACUGUGGUUAAGGAACUCGGCAAAAUGCCCCCGUAACUUCGGAAGAAGGGGGACCACGGCUGGUGACCCGCUUUACGCGGUGAGCUGGUGGUGGUCGCAGAGACCAGAGAGAAGCGACUGUUUACUAAAAACACAGGUCCGUGCGAAGACGUAAGUCGAUGUAUACGGACUGACGCCUGCCCGGUGCUGGAAGGUUAAGAGGACCGGUUAGCGGGGUAACCUGCGAAGCUGAGAAUUUAAGCCCCAGUAAACGGCGGUGGUAACUAUAACCAUCCUAAGGUAGCGAAAUUCCUUGUCGGGUAAGUUCCGACCUGCACGAAUGGCGUAACGACUUCUCUGCUGUCUCAACCACAGACUCGGCGAAAUUGCACUACGAGUAAAGAUGCUCGUUACGCGCGGCAGGACGAAAAGACCCCGGGACCUUUACUAUAGCUUGGUAUUGGCGUUCGGUUCGGUUUGUGUAGGAUAGGUGGGAGACUGUGAAACAUGCGCGCCAGCGUGUGUGGAGUCGUUGUUGAAAUACCACUCUGAUCGUAUUGGAUGUCUAACCUCGGCCCAUGAUCUGGGUUAGGGACAGUGCCUGGUGGGUAGUUUAACUGGGGCGGUUGCCUCCCAAAGAGUAACGGAGGCGCCCAAAGGUUCCCUCAGCCUGGAUGGCAAUCAGGUGUUGAGUGCAAGUGCACAAGGGAGCUUGACUGCGAGACGUACAUGUCAAGCAGGGACGAAAGUCGGGACUAGUGAUCCGGCACCGGCAAGUGGAAGCGGUGUCGCUCAACGGAUAAAAGGUACCCCGGGGAUAACAGGCUGAUCUUCCCCAAGAGUCCAUAUCGACGGGAUGGUUUGGCACCUCGAUGUCGGCUCGUCGCAUCCUGGGGCUGGAGUAGGUCCCAAGGGUUGGGCUGUUCGCCCAUUAAAGCGGCACGCGAGCUGGGUUUAGAACGUCGUGAGACAGUUCGGUCUCUAUCCGCCGCGCGCGUAAGAAACUUGAGGAAGGCUGUCCCUAGUACGAGAGGACCGGGACGGACGAACCUCUGGUGUGCCAGUUGUUCCGCCAGGAGCAUCGCUGGUUAGCUACGUUCGGAAGGGAUAACCGCUGAAAGCAUCUAAGCGGGAAGCCUGUUCCAAGAUGAGGUUUCUCACCCUUUUGCGGGUUAAGGCCCCCCACAGACCAUGGGGUUGAUAGGCCAGAACUGGAAGCGCAGCAAUGUGUGGAGGUGACUGGUACUAAUCGGCCGAGGACU
This 1305-nucleotide ribosomal RNA is filed under the name metagenome. RNAcentral describes it as "bacterial LSU rRNA". It matches the Rfam family "Bacterial large subunit ribosomal RNA", at positions 1634 to 2925 of the family's 2925-position model. The record is from RNAcentral.